AAAGUAACAACAUAAAUAUUUAUCCUGGUUCGGCACACCAAUGUAGUACCUACGUCUAGUCUCCUUGGGGUUCAAAGUUUUCUUAGAUCUUUGAAAGUUUGGCUCGAUUACAAUGAUAGGAAACAAGUUUUGAAGACUUAUUUUGCUCUUCAGAUCUUGUGACACAACUUCAGUUGAUGUUACAAAGUUGACUCGAUCCCACUCUUUAUAUAACAAUUGUAAACUAACGUUACAGAGCUUUUUAACACUAAGAAUGAGACACUUUAAAUUUUUUCCUUGAAGUUGCAUAAAAACUGUCUGUCUUCGAUCUUCUUCUUUUAUAGUCUUCGGCUACUACUUGUCAUAAGGAAACCCAAGAAAUUUCUUCUCGAUCAAGGAUUUAAAUUGAUUCCUUGAUUGAGGAAAGUAGUCGUUUGAUAUGUCCAUAUCAGAUAUGUUCAUAUAUGGCUUUGGAUUACAUUCAUAUCAAAUAUGUCCGUGAUCUAUCCUACAUUUUAAUCUUGAUAUCCAUGUGACAGUUGUGUGCUUUCUUCUUUGUUUAGAUCCUGAUUGAUUUUCUGACUGAUAUAAUCUUCCAUGAUUAUGGGAUGGUGAUUCUCCUUCCAUUUCCAAGAUACUAAUUUGCUUGCCAUGAUUGUUUGAGUGUCGUGAUCUUCUUAUGGUUGGAUGUCCUUCCUUUCCUAGAGAGGUGCUUCUUUUAUUCUUUUACCAUUAGUAAUCUUCAAAUAUCUUGCAUCCUUUUUCCUGCGAAGAUUCAUUCGUUAGUUUGUCAUUAUUAAAACGUUACCUAAGGAGACUAACAACAACCUCCAAAUUCGCCCUAUUUAAAUGUUUUGGAUCUAGA
Molecule: long non-coding RNA, 844 nt
Filed under: Capsicum annuum
Lineage: Eukaryota; Viridiplantae; Streptophyta; Magnoliopsida; Solanales; Solanaceae
Description: long non-coding RNA (CANN_LNC002449)
Source: RNAcentral